UCCCUGGUGGCUUAGAGGGUGAAGCAUCUGCUUGCAAUGCAGGAGGCCCGGGUUUGAUCCCUGGGUCGUGAA
Ovis aries (sheep) is the source of this 72-nucleotide non-coding RNA. NCBI's taxonomy places the organism in Eukaryota, Metazoa, Chordata, Mammalia, Artiodactyla, Bovidae. The record is from Rfam.